GGGAAAGUCAAUUGGAGCUCAGUGGAGAAGAUGCGGGAAUGUGUGAGAGGUGGCAGCGGCCUACAUGCUCAUUCUCCUUCUGAAAUGUAAUUUACUCUGGUUUUGGGAUAUCAGCACCCAGACAUCCAGAAUGCAGACAAGGCCAGCAGGAGAGGGAAGAGGAUCAUGAUGGCAAGAUGGACAUCCAGCCCCAUUCUGGGAGAUUUCAUUAUGGAUGUGGGUUGUAACAGGAACAGUAGUAUAUGAUGAAUGUCAGUCAUAAAUCAGGCUGUUUGAAGAUUGUCACUGUUGGCCUGGAGAGUCAGAUUAUUCUCAUUGGGACUCCUGGAAAGUCUUUCUGUACUUCUGUAUCUA
RNAcentral lists this long non-coding RNA (354 nucleotides) under Pan troglodytes (chimpanzee). RNAcentral describes it as "long non-coding RNA NONPTRT014411". The record is from RNAcentral. Lineage: Eukaryota; Metazoa; Chordata; Mammalia; Primates; Hominidae.